RNAcentral lists this long non-coding RNA (1366 nucleotides) under Piliocolobus tephrosceles (Ugandan red Colobus). Its description in RNAcentral is "lncRNA (ENSPTEG00000015391.1)". Lineage: Eukaryota; Metazoa; Chordata; Mammalia; Primates; Cercopithecidae. The record is from RNAcentral.
AAAAAAUAAUAAAAUAAAAUAAACUCGGCAUAUAUGCAUAUAUACAUAUAUGUACAUGUACCUUUGUGCAAACAUAAGUAUAUGUUAAUUUUUUUUUUUUUUUUUAUGUAUAUUACUAUAUUGAAAAAAAAAAAAAAAAAAAAAAACCCAUAUGUACAUAAGUAUAUAUUUAUUUUUUUUCACAUAUAAAAUAAGAACAACAUUCAUGUAUCUUAUAAUUGCAACUGUUGUAUAAAUUUUAACUUUUUUUUUUUUAUCAAUUUUUUCAACAUAUGUUUGUAUUUCUUCACCUGAGGCGAAUAUUGCAAAUGCAUUAUUCUGAAACACUCAUUAAACCAAUACAAUACUUUCCAUACGUCAAUACCAAUUUUUUUAAUAUACUUAAUGAUCUUUUUAAGAAAUGCCUAAUUUACAUGUAUAAGCAUGGAUGUUACUUAUACAAAGCGCUAUAAGUACGAUUGUAUACAUUUCUUUAUAUAUUUAUGUUGUACAAACACAUAUCAUUGUUAUGCAGGAACAUGUUCAAUAUGCAAUACAAAGCGAACAUUGCAUAAACUGUACUUAUGCCUUAUAAACAUCAGCUUAAAACAGGAAUACAUACAUGACAGCAUAACAUUUUCAUACAAAAAUAUGCAUUCAAAAACUGCAUAUUUUCAAAACUUUACAAUCAUGCAUACAGUUGAUAUUGUCAUUGUGACAACACACAAUUAGAAUAUUCCUAACAAUCAUAGUUACUAAUAUGGUUUAGUUUGUGUUACGUACACAGAAAACAAACAAAAAAUGACCAUUCCUUUUAAGAUCUUUUAUUUAAGCUAAAACUUAACGAUGCCCAUUUCGAACAAUGUUUUCAUUUAAUAUCUCAUAAAGUUAACGUAAGCCUUUAUAUAACAAAUGACAUGCAAAAAAUAGUUCAUACAAAAGUACAUGCAUAAGCAAAUGUGUGCUUAUUUACUCACACAUAACACGCAAUGAACAUAUACAGGCACAGUCAUGAAAUCCAGGUGUUCAUAUUUACUACAAAGUAUUGCACUAUUAAAUAUGUACAAAUAUAUUCGAGUUCACACAUACCUUUUACAAAUUAAACAUAUGUUCAAUCAUUUUUUGCACGACUUAUCACUCAUUUCUAUAUUUUGUCAAUUUGUUUUAUCUCUUUCGUUUUUUAUUUUAUUGGCAUUUAUUUUGGUAAGCUCUCGCCCUUCAUUUGUUUUUAUCCCUUUUUUUUUUUUUUUUUUUUUUUUUUUUUUUUUCUUUCGACACAAUUCUAAUAGUUCUAUAAAUACCAAAUGUAUGCAACCAUAACAAUUUAAAAUAAGUAACAAACACAUAACUCAAACAAUUAAACAUUAAUUUUUUUUAUAUGUAAUAA